CUUGAUGUAGUCGGGUGCAGUCCCGUUCACUGCUCGGAAGGUCAGUACCAGGGUCUUGAAUCUGAUACGGAAGACAUGGAAGAUUUCCCAUUUUUGAAUAGAGUUGAAUAGAGACCCUGUUUCCAUCCCUCUUUGACACUCUGUGAUGACGGUUGGUGGUACCUUCAACUGAACAACUUCAUGUUUUGGUGAAUUGAAGUAUUAACUUAUAUAUUUGUGGAAUAAUAAAGUACCAGAUUAUUCUUAUGCCAACAGGUUCCAUUCUGUCCUCCUCAUCACUGGGUUCAGCUGCUCACCAGUCUGAAGGAAAGGGAUCAGUGGCCAACUUGCCAGCAUUUCAAAGUGCUAAAGCAAGGAUCCAAGUGAGGACUGGCAGGAAGUGGAGGGCAGAGGAAGUAGUUCAAGAGGCAGAUGCAAGGCUGCGUCACAGGAGCCUUGUGGGAGUGGUCAAACGAGGUCGAGCAGGGCUAGGAUCCUUUCCAACUCCCCAAAUGAACACCAGGGGGAAGGAAGGUCAAUGACUUGUUCAGGAGGAGGUGAGAGCAGCAGUGGAGGAGACGAGAACCUGCAAGGCAGUAAGAAUGAAGCAACAGGGAGCUUGGACGAGAUGGGAGAAUGCGGUUGAAAGGAAAGUGACCUGGGCUGAGCUUUGGAAAGCCAAAGCCAGCAUCAAAUUCCUCAUCCAGGCAGUGCAUGAUGUGCUUCCAAGCCCGUCAAAUCUCCACACAUGGGGCAUAGCAGAGACACCAGCAUGCCCACUGUGUUCCAAGAGAGGAACCCUGGAACACAUCCUCAGUUGCUGUACAAGGGCACUUGGAGAUGGUCUGUACAGGUGGAGGCAUGACCAAGUCCUCAAGAUCAUUGCUGAAGUCUUCAUCGCAAGACUGGCGUGGGCAAAGCAGUUCCGACCCUGACAAAGGCGAACCAUCGCCUAAUUUUGGACAAAGAUACCGACCAGAGCCAAAAAGGGCGUCACACGGGUGGCUUUGUUGAAAAGCUAGCGUUUUACAGGCACAUUUUUUCUUUUUGGGAUUUGCAUAGGAAACAGGUGUCAAAGGACUUUGAUAUUCACUGUAUGUUCAUUUUACCCACCGAACUGUCGUUAUUCAACUAUGACAAGGUAAAAUCGGUUUGGCAAUCAAUCGCCCCUUUAAAAGGUGACAACAGAUUUUGAUUUGGUUGAUUAUGUAAUCAUUUACUCAA
Molecule: long non-coding RNA, 1203 nt
Organism: Hypomesus transpacificus
Lineage: Eukaryota; Metazoa; Chordata; Actinopteri; Osmeriformes; Osmeridae
Exons: 3
Source: RefSeq, a predicted model, not a curated record